Molecule: ribosomal RNA, 392 nt
Filed under: uncultured bacterium
Lineage: Bacteria
Description: bacterial SSU rRNA
Rfam family: Bacterial small subunit ribosomal RNA
Source: RNAcentral
UAACGCGUGGGUAACCUGCCUCAGUACAGGGGGAUAACAGUUAGAAAUGACUGCUAACACCGCAUAAUAUAGCGAAACCGCAUGAUUUUGCUAUCAAAUAUUUAUAGGUAUGAGAUGGGGCCCGCGUCUGAUUAGCUAGUUGGUGGGGUAAAAGCCUACCAAGGCGACGAUCAGUAGCCGGCUUGAGAGAGUGACCGGCCACAUUGGGACUGAGACACGGCCCAAACUCCUACGGGAGGCAGCAGGUGGGGAAUAUUGGACAAUGGGGGAACCCUGAUCCCAGCGACGCCGCGUGAGUGAAGAAGUAUUUCGGUAUGUAAAGCUCUACCAGCAGGGAAGAUAAUGACAGUACCUGACUAAGAAGCCCCGGCUAACUACGUGCCAGCCGCCGC